Molecule: ribosomal RNA, 644 nt
Filed under: Helix asemnis
Lineage: Eukaryota; Metazoa; Mollusca; Gastropoda; Stylommatophora; Helicidae
Description: partial small subunit ribosomal RNA
Source: RNAcentral
CCAAAAACGGUUUAUCCUUUAAAGACCAUAUGUUAAUGUGUUACCUUUAUCCAUUGCCCGGCAUCAUGGACUUUGCUGAAUUUUUCCAGCUGCGAAACUUUAUAAUCUAAGUAAUUAGGAAUAUGCUACCAAUUAAUAUUAAUGACUAUUAAAGUGCCAGCAGUCGCGGUCAUACUUUAAUUAAAAAUAAAAUUUAUCAGGACUUACGUAAAUAAUUUAACUUCCCAUAGUGAAAUAUGGAUAACCUUCUACUACAUUUAAAACCAACUAAACACUGAUUGCAAACAGGGAUUAGAUACCCCUUUAUGCAGUACUUAAUUCUUCGUCCUGGGUACUACAAUCACCAGAUUGAAACCCAACUAACAUGGCGGUAGUUUAAAUUUUUAGGGGAACUUACUAAGUAAAUGAUAACCACCAAGAAAAUUUACGUAAAGUAAUAUUUUAUAUACCGUCGUCGGCAGAUAUCUUAAUAUAAGAUAUCAUAUUACCUUAAAGUAAAAAGACAGAUCAAGGUGUAGACAACCUUUACGUUUCAGCGAGUUACAAUAUUGUUUUUUUUCGUUGUUUAAUUAUAUUAUUAAUUAUACGCCGGACUUAAUAGUAAUAGUUAUUAAGGAUAUAGUAUGAAUAAUUUUAAACUGUGC